RNAcentral lists this ribosomal RNA (393 nucleotides) under uncultured bacterium. RNAcentral describes it as "bacterial SSU rRNA". It matches the Rfam family "Bacterial small subunit ribosomal RNA", at positions 355 to 765 of the family's 1533-position model. The record is from RNAcentral.
UAGGGAAUAUUAGUAAUGGGCGAAAGCCUGAACUAGCAACGCCGCGUGUGUGAAGAAGGCCUUCGAGUUGUAAAGCACUUUUUGAGAGGAUGAGGAAGGACGGUACUCUCAGAAUAAGUCUCGGCUAACUACGUGCCAGCAGCCGCGGUAACACGUAGGAGGCGAACGUUAUCCGGAUUUACUGGGCGUAAAGCGCGUGUAGGUGGUUUGGUAAGUAGGGCGUGAAAGCUCCUGGCUCAACUGGGAGAGGCCGUUCUAAACUGCCGAACUAGAGGAUGGUAGAGGGAGGUGGAAUGCAGGGUGUAGCGGUGGAAUGCGAAGAUAUCAGGAGGAACACCAGGGGCGAAAGCGGCCUCCUGGACCAUUGCUGACACUCAGAGGCGAAAGCUAGGG